UAAUAAUGAACAAGUUCAUGGGCACCACGACCAGCUUGCCCAGUGUUGGCCAACUUUGUCCUUUGACUUACACGGUGAUUUGUGGCAACUUGGCUGGCUUUUUGCUUCCCUGUGUGUGUGUGUGUGUGUGUGUGUAGGGUUUUCCAGUGGGCUUAUGUACCAGAUGCUGAUGUUGUUCCAUGCUGCUUUCCCUCUGCUCAGCUGUGAGCUCACCUGUGGUCACAGUACACAGGUCACAGCAGGCAGACAGCUCCUCUGGCUACGUCUCUCUGCUUCUCUGCCUUAGAACUUUUGCACCUGGGAGCUUGCUCAGCUGUAGCACAGGAAAACUGACAGAGGAGGGAAUUUAUAUCCCAGGGGCACCUCUCAACCAGGGAAGAACAGGGCUCCGUGGAUGAAUGCCCCAGAUGCCUGUCCCAAGGUGGAAUGAUUCUCUGGUAUAUUUCACAUGGGCUCUCGGGGGGUUCCUGGUGGAAUUGAGCCCAGUUACCCGCAAGGAUUAGCUCAUUCUUUACUGGCUUUUCUCCCUUCCUGUUCCAGUCUCUCCACUCUUUCUCAGCUGUGUUUUCUGGGAUCACUUUCCAAAUAUACUACCUGCAUCCAACAUUCUGUCUCUAUUCUUGCGGAAACCCAAAUUAAGGCAGCCAGGCAUGUGGGUACAGGAUAGAGUCAAAAGCUGUCAUUCACUGAACAUUCGCUGAGUGCCAGAUCCUUGGCUAGGAUAAUGACCCUUCAAGGCACACAUUUUUCUCCCCACUUUACAGAUGAUAAACCAAGACAGAAGAAGGUUAAGUAACUCUCCCAAGGUUCCCUGCUCCAACUCCCUCUUUCUCAUGAGAAAACAUCCCUUGCUGCUGUACUGACAACAGAGAGAGGCCAUCUGAUAUGAGCUUUACUAAUUUCCUCUCCGUUGACUUACAUUCUCUCUGAGUCACCCACGUGGUCUUUCCCCCAACAUGGUCUAGGAGGGGAAGCUUCUCCAAAGAAAGUAACAUGAGUCUUGGGGGUGGAUGGUCCUGGGCCCUACCUGUGACUGUUCACUUAUUAAUGUCUGUCCUUGGGCAGGUCUCUUAUGUUUCUGGGCCUGAAUUUUCUCACCUAUAAAAAUGGAGUAAUAAUGUCUUAAAACCGUAACGAUUAGAUAAUGUUUUACUGAACUCUGUACAUCUACAACCUGUAUAGUGAGUGGCUGUUUCUAAGGAGUUGUGCAGUCCACAUCCCGCACUUUGUAGCUAUGAAAACAUUGAAUUCUGUUUUCUUUCUUGUGUCUUUAUUCUCUGCCUCUCAACCACUUCUUACAAACCUACUCAAAUCCCCUCCUUUUCCUCCUGCCCGCAACUAAUAAUGAAUGAACUGUCUUUCCUUGUCAUUCUGUGUUGUUAAUGAAGCAAAGAACAUUUUGCCACACAAUCAUUGAAAUGUCUAUUUAUUAAUAAGUGGUGCGGUAUUUAUUUGUUUUAAGAUAGAACAUAAAAAAAUCAGGUAAGAAUUGUUUGCAUAAUAUAUAUGGAAAUCAACUUAUUAAAGUUGUUCAAAUAUUGGACAGAGCCAGAAUAUAAACUACACAUACAGUUUAAAAAUGACAGGAAAUCAUAUUAUAAAGAGCACUAAAGGCCACUUGUGGAAGAGUUGUGUUCCCAUGUAAGCCAGAAUGUGAAGAAAGCCUGCUGUAGCAUGGAGACAAAUUCAGGGAGCGAAAGGCACCAGAACUCUAUGCCGUAAAAGGGGGUUAAAGAAAAUGCAAUCCAACAUCAGAUACAACGGAUUCAUGUCACUGGAAACCUCGGUUUGCUCUUCGGAUUGGUGUUUUGCAUCACUGCCACAUCACAAAGAGAAAAAAGAAAAAGAAGAAUAGCCAUACCCCAUUGGAAGCAAUGUGGAAAGCAUUUUCCUCUUUAAAACAGGGAAUGAUUGACAAAUCUGAUGAAGUUGGUGCAUCUUUCUAAGGUGAUUUUCAAGAUGGGGCAGGGCCUACCUCACAUCUCCAACCGCAAAGCCUCUGACACUUGACCACAAGGUGGCUGCCAGUCUUGGAACUUGGCCUCCCACCUGGACUCUGAGCUCUCACAGGAACUUUGCAGGGUGGCGCUGCGCUCCCCUCCCUUGGAAAAGGAUUCAGAGGGAAAAGAAGAGCCCAAUUAUCAGAUCAGGUUGGCUUCCACUGGGAACCUCGAUCUUUUCAUAUCAAGAAAGAGAAACACAACUGUUCUGAGCCUUUGGCCUCCCAGAGAAUGUUUUUGAAGGCUCAUCUGUUUCUGCCGGAUCUCUAAGCUCUGAAAUAAAGGUACAGUCUAGAGACAAAAGACUAGGCAGGAGGGACAUUUGAACUUGUUUGGUUAAAACAAUGAAAGGAAAUCCUUGGGGGCAAAGAACAAGGGGCACUUGUGGGAUAACCUGUAGCCACACCAGACUCCCAGAGCUGAUGGAUUCCAACAUGAACCAGAUGGACAAUUUAUGUGGCAUUAUUCUCUGCCACCGACAGCUGGAUCGAGAAACCACGCAAAGGAGCAGGCAGGACCCGCCAAAUAGCAAGGGGAACAGUCAAUGCAAGAAUCACUCUUCUCUCCAGGGAACCAACAGGACUGUGAUCAUUUUACUUAAAGGUGAUGGGGUGUGGGAGGGCAAGGCUUUGUGGAAGCCCACAAGGCAUGAUUUGGGAGCAUUUCUACUGACCUGGGAGCCUUGGGGUGGGGAGGAAGACUGGGCUUUGGAGGUACAUGGGUUUUGGUUAACGGCUUCCCCCUCUCAGCUUCAGCUUUCUAUAAGAUGGAAACAGUAAUACCUCCUCAGUGGGGUUGUGAUGCGGAUUGCAUGAAGUCGAGAGAGAGAGCUCUGAUGUCACAUGCUGCUCAUAAAGAGAGCUUAGGGCGAGCUCUCCUCCCCUUCCCUGACCUCAGUCUUGUGGACAGAGGAAGAGAAUAGUACACUGAAGGAAAACAUGCUCUCAUUCUGCGUUACUCUUAGGCAACAAACUGUAGAGUCCAUUUGACGAGUCUAAGAGGAAUUACAAAUAUAUUCCUAACCCCUGGGCAAGGCUUUUGACCGCUUCAUUAUAAGUCACACUCAGGUUAUUCUUACAUAGACCCCAUUUUUGACUUAUUUCCCUCUGAAACUUAUUUUAACCUUAGAACGGUGCUAUGUGAAGGCUGAUAGAAUGACAGUCAUUAAAGUCACUGGGUCACCUAUUACCAUCCAGGAACUUGACCACCUUUCUUUCUAUCUCUUAGGAGCUCCUGACUCAGGAGAACUGAACAUCCUGCUACUGGCUUUAACAAGGGGAGCCCUGCCAAAUUCUGGAAGAUCUAUCCCAAGCACAAUAUAAGUGGAAACCAACUAUGGAAAUCCUCAUCUUUUGGUGAAGACUAGAAUACCUGGCUGUGAUAUGACCAAGACAGACGUUCUCUGGGACAAAGCAGGAGGAGCCAGGCUGUGCCCAGGAGGGACCCAGAGAUCCCAGGGCAAAGGGACAACUUCAGUAGACCUGCUGACUUGGGGUCAUAUACUUCCCCGAAGAAAUCACAUCCCAUUUCCUAAAAUCAAGCCCAUACAGUUUUUUCAAGGAGAAAUCCUGGUAAAUUGGCUUAUAGAUCAUCCUUCGAGACAGCGGUGCAGUAUCUGGUACAGUGUGUCCCAUGGAACUGCCACAGCCCAACCACUGGGAUCCAACAGUCUUGAUCUCCUCAUUCCGACAUUCCUGCUCUUCCUUAUUUUGAUGGAAAAAAUGGGAAAGAACAGCUCUUAAGAUUCUUAUCAUUUAUUCAAUCAUGAAGAUGUAACUUGCCUUUGUCUACACUGAUAAAGACAACAUACUGCACUGGAGAUGCAGAGCAUCCGACAAACAUGUUUUACAAUAAAAGCAGACAUCCUCCUCCCGCUGGAUAAACAGUGUCACGAGUGCUUUCCACACAACAGAGUACAGGCAUCUCGGUCCUGUUGUGUAAACUGCAGAGUGGUGUGGCAGGAGGGACCGGGGCCUGGGGUGAGUCAGCUGACCAGGCUUUGAGUCCCAGCUCUCCGGGGAACAAUGGAGUGGCCCUGGGCAUAUGUCUUUACCUGGGCCUAAGCUUUCUCAUUUUUACGAGGAAGGCCGUGGACUGGAUAAUUUCUGUGUGCCCUCUUGACUCUAGUUCCUAUUUGAGAUGGAUAUUUUAUACAAGUAUCACGGGGAAGAAUGUGAAUUGGAACCUCAUUUUGAAGGCACUGAACUCCUGCCCUGAGGGGCACCCCGCUGCUGAUAAAUUUGGUUAUCUUUGGCUACUAAUUUGGGAACAAUCUUAAUGUGCAUGUGUGUGUGUUUUCUCCCUGCCUAGUCACAACUCAUCCGACAUGUUACACCUGCCACCACCCUUCACAGGUGAGGAAACCGGGGCAUGAUGGUUGACAAUGACAGACUCAGUGAGGUCCCUUUGAGAGCUUUUGGAAGGUUUUCCCAGCCUUUCCUUAAUAAAAUAAUGUUUUAAAUUCUUGGUUUUGAGGAUGUGAUGACUAUCUCAUUCCCGCCCUCACGUUUUUAGCUCAGAAGGCAACGUCACUGGUACGCAAUGUAUUUUUGUUGAGAGAAUUAUCUGCUUGCUUUAGAAAACGGUUAAUUGUUGGACUGUUUUACACAAAGGGGCAGUGAUGCUAGAAACGACGUAAACGACUUUCUCUGCUCACCCAACCAAAACCCAAACCAGACAACCACACGGACACAUAGCACGCUCAUCAGCCAUUUCUCCCUGUACCGGUCCAGUCAUGAUUCAAAGUGAGGAAAUAGAAGCACAGAGAGAUGAAGUAACUCAUCAAACAUCACAGAGCAGUGGACUUUCUAAAGCAGGGGUCCCCAACCCACGGGCCACGGACCGCUACCGUUAGGAACCGGGCAGCACAGCAGGAGGUGAGCGGCGGGCGAGCGAGCGAAGCUUCAUCGGUAUUUACAGCCGCUCCCCAUCGCUCGCAUCACCACCUGAGCUCCGUCUCCUGUCAGCCUUAUGGGGAGUGGCAACCUCACCCCACCGUGAAGGAACCCAGCUGAGAUCUGGGGAUGCCCUGUGGGCUUUGGCACCACACAGCCUGUCAGCCCAUGACCACAGGCCCCACCUGGGAGAUUGCUGGGAUGGGCUUCUCCGACCAUUAGAGGGAUGGAUCCAACACUGGCUCCCACACCUUGCUUCCAUUUCUGCUCAAGCCACUAGCUCCCUAUCUGCGCCACCCUGAGCACAACAGGAGACAAACGCCCCCCCACCCCCUCCCCUCAUCAAGUUGCUGGGCUAGGGCAGGGGCAGGGUGUGGGAGCAGCCUUGAAGGCUUAUCACAGGCCUAGGACCGCUAAGACCAUGCACCCAGAAGAAGCCAUGCCUCACUCUGUCUCUCUGCAAACGCAACCGCUCCUCCAGUGACCCCACCGUGUACUAAAUCACCCUUCCUUUCUCUCUGGCCUCCUGCAGUAUCAGCAUGGCUGGGGGUAUGUGAUUGGCCCACUUAGGCAGUCAACCUCCCGCUAAGACUCAGAAACUCAUGUGCCUGAUAAAUACCAAACGUGACGACUGUGUGCAAAGGUCCACUCAACGCACAUUAAGAUGGGCUGAUAGCUCUAGAGGCUGGUUUGUCCUAGACAUCAUGUUCCCUCCUUCCAUCUCUCAGAGAGACAUAUUUGCAUAAAUAACAGCACGUUAGGCUCAGGACUUGUUCACGCUUCCUUUUGUUCGGCAGGCAUUGAGCGCCGAUGGUGUGUCCGCCACUAUGCUGGGCCGUCACAGUUGGUAUUCCAUUGAUGGAUAAAGGAAGGUCACAAGUAUUGCCAUGCUCGUCACUGCUUUGAAAUUAUGGUCGUAUUCAACCUGCCACUACAUCAUGCCAUUAGAUUCAUCACAAAGAAGCACGUCUACGACCGCGUCUCAAAAGUUUAAAUAUUUUGGAACACCGUGGCUGCUCCACGGAGAAUGGAUUGGAGGAAAGCAAGGAACAAACGAAAGACCGAAGAAGAUGCCGCUGAAGUCUUCUAAGCUGGUGGCUUGGACGUGCGUGACUGCAGUGGGAAGGAGGAGACCCGCGCUUGGACAUUUAUUUUGGAGAAGAACCACAACAGUCUUCCUUGAUGGAUUCUAUGUGGCCAUGAGGGAAAGGGACGGUUGAGAAAAAGGAGCAAAACUGGUUUGGAGAAGAAAUCGGAAGUUGAGUUUGGCAGUCCCUCGUCUUCACACACAUACACACCUGAUACGAGACUGUGGUGCGAAGCGGAUUUUAGUAAACGUUUGUCUGGGGAUCUAUGAGCACGAUUCCAGAACACUUGCAGCUGGUGCUCCGAGGACGCGCGGACUCACACAUUGAUGCAAGAGGGAGGAGCUGUAUGGUUUUCUGUGUUGGUUUCCUGAAAGAAUUAUUUUUCCCAUGUUUCCAAAUCUCAUGGAUGAAUAAUAUACCAAAUGAGCAAGAGUAAUCUCUGGUGAGCAUGUACUUCUGCUGGACCACAGGCGUCAUUCCGAGCAGCCUAUGAGGUUAGUACUAUUAUUAUCCCCUUCCACAUAUAAGGACAUGAGGACACAGAGAGGUUGCGUAAGUUGCGCAAGAUCACACAGCUAAUAAGCAGAGCAGCCAGUUUUUGAAGUCUGAUAGUCUAACUCUGGAGUCUCUGUCUCAGCCCCUAUUGCUAUGACUAUCUCCUAAUUCUACCACCUGGUUAUUUCUGGUCCCUUGUUUAAGAGGAGAGCGGACCACAGAUCUGGAGGGAGCCAGGCGCACAGGAUCAGAUCUCAGCCCCUGUGCAGGUUGUUUCCCCUUGCUGAGCCCCGGCACCUUCAUCUGCAUGGGGGACACUGAAAUAUAGCUCUCAUAAACGUCCAUCUCAAAAUCACAUAUCCUAGGUCUGCUCAGACAGCUUCCCACCACAUGCAGACCCAUCACAUUUACCUUUUGCAAAUGUAGAGAGUUGAAUGUCCCCCUGCAAAAGCUAUGUUCAAGCCCUCAUCUGAUACCUGUGACUGUGACCUUACUUGGAAAUAGAGUCUUGGCCGAUGUACUCAGUUAAGAUAAACUCCUGCUGGAGGAGGGUGGGCACUUAAUUCAAUGAGUAAUGUCUUUGUAAGUGAAAGGAGAGGGAGGUUUGGAUACAGAGACAUGAAUAUACCCAGAAGGAAGAAACGUAUGUGUAGAUGGAGGCAGAGAAUGGAGGUGAUGGGUUACAAGGUCAAGGGAUGCCAAGGAGUACCAGCAACCACCACACGUGAGGAAAAAGCAAGGAAGGAUUCUCCCCAGAGCCUUCGAGGAGUACGGCCUGAUGACACUUUAAGUUUGGACGUCCAGCCGCCAGAACAGUGAGAGAAUACCUUUCUGUUGAUUUCAGCCACCCAGCUUGUGAUAAUUUGCUGUGGCGCCGUGGGAGGAAACUAACACAGCAGACAAUGAGGGCUUAGUAGAUACACAUGCACUGUUUUCAGACGGAUGGAGCCAAGUCAGGGACCGUGACACAUCCUCGUGUGCUAAGGGAUGACGUGCUCAUGGGUAGUGAGGAGACUACAUGAAGGGUAGGGGGAACCACCCUUUCCUGUAUUUUGGCAACAUCAUAAAAAUGGAAUUUCCACACUCUUAGAAGAACUAGUAAACCUCUAGCCUUCUACUGGCUUUUCCCCACGGCAGGAGAUGAGUUAUCUGAUCGGGUCACACUGAGUGUGUAAUCGCCGCUGGGUCCAUUUUCUUGGUUGGGUAGGCUUCCAUACGAAAGGGCAGCACCGUAUUCAAGGUCAAGGAGAGAAUGGUCUCUCUCUCCUGCUCUCAGUGACCCACAGGGUCAGAUAGGCCAUGGCCCCAGGUGGCUGGCUGGGAGAGUCUCUGCUCUGAGCAUGUGCUGGUCCCAAGGCCAGACUUACCGUGAAGUGUUACAAAGCUCACUGCUGCCCCAGGGCCAAUCCUGCUUCAUCCAGCAAAUGUAGCCCGUAUUUCGAUCCUUUCCUGUCUCCUCUGUCUAUGUCUCAAUUAGUUCAUAAUUCAGAGAGAAAGGGGUGUUAUAAAUAGGCAACCCCCAAUAUUAAAAAAAAAUGGAGACUAAGUCCUUAGGACAUGCCAGGGAUCACUCUGAGAUUAAAACUGGUCCAAAUCUGUUACUCUGUAGCCUGGGAGCAGUGCUGCAGGGUCUGGAUGGCAGGAGAAAAUACAUAUAGCUAUGGGAUUGGGUCCAAGGCUCUUAUUUUGCUCUGGGUAAAUAAUUUUCUCAUCAGUAAAACUGGGGGAUUAGAUUAAUUGAUCUCUAAAUUCUUGUACACCUUUAGUAGUCAUGGAUUCUAGGGCAUGGAAGAUUUAUUGCCAACAUCAUCCAUCACACUGUGAGAUGAAAUUCAUAUGGCUGACGUCACAGGGAGAAGGAAAAAUGUGAAUUACAAGGUCUGACUAAACACUCCUUGAUGCCGUAGAAGACUCUGGGUCUGUGCCUUUCCCUGCCUGCACAGCCCCCUCGCAUGGCUGGGACUCCAGCUAUGUGAGCCAAGAAAGCGUAGAAGAAAACAACACACAAAAGGGGACACCUGCAGUGACUGAUUCUAUGACUGUUCCCAACAACUGUGGAGACCAGCAGAGUUGGAGCCGGUCCAACCAGCUCCAACUAUGGAGCCAGACCAGCUGGAUCCAAGUCCAGCUCUUGCUACUUUAUUAGCUGUAUGACCUUGUGCAAGUCACUUACCUCUUUGAACCUCAGUUUUCUCAUCUGUAAAAUGGGGAUUAAAAAUACUACCUACCUUCUGGGGUGGCUAGGAGGGGCUAGAUGUGCUUAGAACUGUAGCUGGCAAACAGUAGGCAUUCUUUAUAAGUAAAGGUUAUCAUAACUUGAAUUCUUUGAUCCAAAGAAUGAUCCUUACUAAGGUUGACAGGUUUGCAAUGGGAAGGACAUAAUAAUGAGAUAGGAGAUAAAGAUGCAUGGGACAAAUUUCUUCCCUCUCCAAAGACCGAUACAGAGGAGAAGAAACCUGAAGGCUGCUGUUCACAGUGAAUCGUUUGAAAACACAAAGUGAGCCAUUGGGCCCAGGCAAGCAGUUACCGUCAACACAGCUACCUGUUCUGCAAAUUCAAAAAAUGCUGGUUUCGGGCUUCCCUGGUGGCGCAGUGGUUGCGCGUCCGCCUGCCGAUGCAGGGGAACCGGGUUCGCGCCCCGGUCUGGGAAGAUCCCACACGCCACGGAGCGGCUGGGCCCGUGAGCCAUGGCCGCUGGGCCUGCGCGUCCGGAGCCUGUGCUCCGCAACGGGAGA
This is a long non-coding RNA of Physeter macrocephalus (sperm whale), 9212 nucleotides long. RefSeq lists it as uncharacterized. NCBI's taxonomy places the organism in Eukaryota, Metazoa, Chordata, Mammalia, Artiodactyla, Physeteridae. The record is from RefSeq and is a predicted model, not a curated record. The transcript has 13 exons.